This 1486-nucleotide ribosomal RNA is filed under the name uncultured low G+C Gram-positive bacterium. RNAcentral describes it as "16S ribosomal RNA". It matches the Rfam family "Bacterial small subunit ribosomal RNA". Lineage: Bacteria; Bacillati; Bacillota. The record is from RNAcentral.
UUAGAGUUUGAUCCUGGCUCAGGACGAACGCUGGCGGCGUGCUUAACACAUGCAAGUUGUGCGAGAAAGUUACCUUCGGGUAACGAGUAAAGCAGCGAACGGGUGAGUAACGCGUGAGUAUCUACCUUUAAGACCGGGAUAACUUCCUGAAAGGGAAGCUAAUACCGGAUAAUCUCCUUUCGGAGCAAAGGCAGUUUUCUGUCACUUUUAGAUGAGCUCGCGUCCCAUUAGCUAGUUGGUGAGAUAACAGCUCACCAAGGCAACGAUGGGUAGCCGGCCUGAGAGGGCGAUCGGCCACACUGGGACUGAGACACGGCCCAGACUCCUAUGGGAGGCUGCAGUGGGGAAUCUUCCGCAAUGGGCGAAAGCCUGACGGAGCAACGCCGCGUGAGUGAUGAAGGCCUUCGGGUCGUAAAGCUCUGUCUUCAGGGACGAACCCCCUGGCUGUGCAAAUAGCCAGGCCUGACGGUACCUGAAGAGGAAGCCUCGGCUAAUUACGUGCCAGCAGCCGCGGUAAUACGUAAGAGGCAAGCGUUGUCCGGAAUCACUGGGCGUAAAGGGUGCGCAGGCGGUCUAGCAAGUCAGAGGUGAAAGCCACCAGCUUAACUGGUGAGGUGCCUUUGAAACUGUUAGACUUGAGGACAGGAGAGGAAAGUGGAAUUCCCGGUGUAGUGGUGAAAUACGUAGAGAUCGGGAAGAAUACCAAUGGUGAAAACAGCUUUCUGGCCUGUUCCUGACGCUGAGGUACGAAAGCUAGGGUAGCAAACGGGAUUAGAUACCCCGGUAGUCCUGGCUGUAAACGAUGGACACUGAGUGUUGGGGGUUAAACUCCUUCAGUGCUGCAGUUAACGCGUUAAGUGUCCCGCCUGGGGAUUACGACCGCAAGGUUGAAACUCAAAGGAAUUGACGGGGGCCCGCACAAGCGGCGGAGCAUGUGGUUUAAUUCGAUGCAACGCGAAGAACCUUACCAGGACUUGACAUCCCGUGACCGUCUAUGAAAGUAGACUUUGGCUCUUUGAGUCACACGGUGACAGGUGGUGCAUGGCUGUCGUCAGCUCGUGUCGUGAGAUGUUGGGUUAAGUCCCGCAACGAGCGUAACCCUUGUCCUUAGUUGCCAGCGAGUAGUGUCGGGGACUCUAAGGAGACUGCCGGGGGAGCAACCCGGAGGAAGGUGAGGACGACGUCAAGUCAUCAUGCCCCUUAUGUCCUGGGCUACACACGUGCUACAAUGGUCUGUACAGAGGGAGGCGAUACCGCGAGGUUGAGCUAAUCCCAGAAAGCAGAUCUCAGUUCGGAUUGCAGGUUGCAACUCGCUUGCAUGAAGCUGGAGUCGCUAGUAAUCGUGGAUCAGAACGCCACGGUGAAUCCGUUCCCGGGCCUUGUACACACCGCCCGUCACACCACCCGAGUUGGGGGCACCAGAAGUCACUUUUAGUGCCGAAGGUGCGCCUGAUAAGGGGGGUGAAGUCGUAACAAGGUAACCGUA